AGCAGCCGCGGUAAUUCCAGCUCCAAUAGCGUAUAUUAAAGUUGCUGCAGUUAAAAGCUCGUAGUUGAAUUUCGGGACUAAUAUGUCGGUCGUGCCUCGGUACGCACUGGCUUAUAGGUUUCUCCCUUCUGACGAACCAUGAUGUCAUUAAUUUGGUGUCUUGGGGAAUCAGGACUGUUACUUUGAAAAAUUAGAGUGUUUAAAGCAGGCUCACGCUUGAAUACAUUAGCAUGGAAUAAUGAAAUAGGACGUUUGAUUCUAUUUUGUUGGUUUCUAGGAUCGACGUAAUGAUUAAUAGGGAUAGUUGGGGGCAUUAGUAUUCAAUUGUCAGAGGUGAAAUUCUUGGAUUUUAUUGAAGACUAACUACUGCGAAAGCAUUUGCCA
Molecule: unclassified non-coding RNA, 384 nt
Filed under: uncultured Glomus
Lineage: Eukaryota; Fungi; Glomeromycota; Glomeromycetes; Glomerales; Glomeraceae
Description: SSU rRNA
Rfam family: Eukaryotic small subunit ribosomal RNA
Source: RNAcentral